Molecule: long non-coding RNA, 1855 nt
Organism: Ctenopharyngodon idella (grass carp)
Lineage: Eukaryota; Metazoa; Chordata; Actinopteri; Cypriniformes; Xenocyprididae
Exons: 3
Source: RefSeq, a predicted model, not a curated record
UGUAGCCUGUUGGAAAGAGAUUAUUUUAUUUUAUUUUAUCAUAUUUUAUUUUUGUGCAGUGAACUUCCCAAAACUAUUUUUCUAGUUAUUUUAAGUCAAUUAAUUUCACUGAGUGUUGGAUUCCUGCACAGGUCAUGUUAUGUUGUGUGUGGGAACCAUUGAUUGUAGCGUUUGUUCGAAUGGGAUGCUUGUCUGUGUUGCGCACUAUUCUUUUUUGGGAGUGCGUGAGUUGCGUCAGCCUCAGACCGCGAGUGGACGCUGAUGAGGCAGGACGCACAUUUUCUCUCUCUUCUUCCAGCCAUAGUUGUGUUUAACGGAAGAAGUUAGCGCAACGGAUGUUUCUCUUAUCAAGUGUCCCAUGUGUUUCAGGUAUGUUCAGUUCUUUAACUCAUUGUAUAAAAUUAUAGAAUUUGGUUUAUAAUGUUAUGGACUAAAUUUGAAUAUAUUAUCAAUACUAUUUUUCUAUCCCCCCUUUUCUAUAGUGCAUUUAAUUGCUUUACAUUUGUAUAAUGCACUGAUUUCACUUUUCUAUAGUGUCAUUGUGAAUGUGUAUGAUGCUUUGGGAGAAUGUUUACAUUAAUUUUAUGCAUCAUUCAUUGUUAAUAAUACAAAUGAGACAACAAUUGACACAGUGAUGUAUAAUCAGUCACUUUAUUUUAAUUUCCUUAUUUUAUGGGUUUAAAUGUAUUACACAAUGUUAAACAUAAAUUGUUGUAACAUUAGCCUCAGACCGCGAGUGGACGCUGAUGAGGCAGGACGCACAUUUUCUCUCUCUUCUUCCAGCCAUAGUUGUGUUUAACGGAAGAAGUUAGCGCAACGGAUGUUUCUCUUAUCAAGUGUCCCAUGUGUUUCAGGUUUAACAGUGUAGUUGUCUGGUGCAGACAUAAUACCAACCUGGAGGGGAACAUGCUCAAAACAGUGGAGAUGAUUGUGGACUUCAGGAGAAACCCCUCAGCACUGAAUGAAUGAAUGGUGUAUUUAUAUUGUGUAUUUUCUAUGUACAAGUGUACACCCAAAGUGUUUUACAAUCAUAUCAAAGGGUCUCUUCUCAACCACCACCAGUGUGCAGCAUCCACUUGGAUGAUGUGGUGGCAGCCGAAAUACAAUGGUGCCAGCGCACUCACCACACACCAGCUCUAGAAAAAGAGAAAGUGAUAGAGCUAGCUCAUGCAUUCCCAUGAGUUUACAGCAUAGGCUAUUUGAAUGUUAACUUUUUCAAAUGUUAUGUAUUUACCAUUACUUUUUAAUUGCUGUCAUGUUAUGUGAAAUAAUUAAGCACUAUAUUUACCCAUGUUAAGUAUUAUAUGUAAUUUCUCUAUAUAUGGUUUCUCCUUUAAGCGUUCGCGCUCAGACACACGGUGUAUGCGAACGGAGAAGCAGAGGGAUGAGAGAGUAGGCCUUCUGAUGUCUGUGUAUACUAAUUGCCUCACGCUACUCUGUUUAAGGAAUGAAUCCAUCUGCAUAUCCAUCAUCCCAUUUGUGAUGUGGUUGUGUUUUCGUGGUGUCCGGAGGUUACCACUUGAAGUCUGCUACACUCACAUUAAGUAUUCUCAAACUAAAACCUGUUGUAUACAUCUUAAUCCUGGAAUUUAUCUUUGGUAGGGAGGUGAAUGCCAAUUUUGUUUGUGAGUAUAUCUGUUUUCUCCUGUUUAUUGAACAGUUAGGGAGUAAGAGAAGUAUAUUGUAUUUCAGUUUGGUUUUCAUUUCUAGGUAACCCCCUUUUAGGGAGUUUGAUAUUCUGUUUGUUAUUUUGGCCUUGUCCCUUCCUGAAGCCUUAUGUUAUUCCUAUGAUUUUGAGAAACAAACAUAAAACAUUUCAUUUGUCAACAAAAAUAAAAAUAAUCUACUUUUUUCA